This 794-nucleotide long non-coding RNA is filed under the name Mytilus galloprovincialis (Mediterranean mussel). The record is from RNAcentral. Lineage: Eukaryota; Metazoa; Mollusca; Bivalvia; Mytilida; Mytilidae.
GCUCUCCUGGGCGCAGCUUGAUACGACCACCUAGGUCGAACCCUGAAAAGUUGGGGCAAUUAUGGACACUACAUUCAAGAUCAUUCAAGCUUGAUACAGCUCUGGAUUUUGAUUGUGAUUAAGGGCGUAUUUGUUACAGAAAAAACUGGUUUUUAUUAGUUUUAGGUUUUGGUUUAAAACUGGUUUUGAUUGGUUUUGGUUUAGGUUUCAAAAUUUGUUUGGGUUAAUAUAUUUUUCAACAAAUGUAAAGUUUAUCUGAAAUUUAAAUGAUGUCAAAACUACUUGGGCCUGUUUUAUUGGUCUCUUCUACACAUUUCCAGGAUGUCUUUUAGUGAAGAAUCCCCCACAAAAAGAAUCUGGACCUCUUCUGGAGAUAUUCUACGGAAGAUCAAUGAAUACAAAUUCAAUUUGCCUUCAAAUACAGCAGAUUUUUAUUAUGUUUGAUGACAUAAAUUAAGUUUUCAAUAAUUGUUUAGAAAAUUAAGAUACGUCCAGUAGAGAACCAGGAUUAACCCCCACUAUAUGUUUUUUAAGAAUAAUCUUAAACUGCACAAGAAAUUGUCAAUGUUUGUCUAGUAUAUAUACAGGAAAAAAAUUCUGAGACAAGUGCCUGUGAAUAUGACUGAUCAAAAAGGACAUCUUAGUCAAUCCACAUUUUUUUUUUAAAGUAACCGAAGUGGACUUUUUUUGUGAUAAAACAAAGAUAUCAGAAAGUUCUCAAAAUCCUUUUUCUCUGGUGGUCCUAGAAAAAAAUCUUCUGGUCCUAACUAUUUUUUCUAAUGCAAAAUUUUGAU